GAUGUUUGGUUAAAAAUACUUAAAUGUUAUAUUUAUAUAAGUGAAUUGUUUUGUGUCAUUAAAGGGUGAAAUCAAUUUUUUGUUGAAUAAAUAAAUUUGUUUAAUAUAAUUUAAUUGAGGUUGUUAAAAUUAAGGUAUGAACCAGGAUUAGAGACCCUGUUACACUUAAUUUUAAGUUCGAAUACCUGGGUAGUAAACAGUUAUAGUCUUGAAACUUAAAGGAUUUGGCGGUAAUUUAGUCUAGUUAGAGGAACCUGUCCUGUAAUCGAUAGUCCACGAAAAAUCUUACUUUACUUUGAAUAACUCAGUUUAUAUACCGUCAUUAUUAGGUAACUUUAAUAAAAGUAGAAGUUGCUGUAAUAGUUUUUAAUUAAUAUAUUAGAUCAAGGUGUAGCCUAUGGUAAAGUAGAGAUGGGUUACAAUAAUAUUGGUUUAAUAAAACGAAUCUAAAAUAGAAAAGUUUUAGUGAAGGAGGAUUUAAAUGUAAAAAUAUUUUAAUAUGAUAUUUUGAUUGUAGCUCUAGGUUAUGUACACAUCGCCCGUCGCUCU
RNAcentral lists this ribosomal RNA (549 nucleotides) under Trachysalambria dentata. RNAcentral describes it as "partial 12S ribosomal RNA". Lineage: Eukaryota; Metazoa; Arthropoda; Malacostraca; Decapoda; Penaeidae. The record is from RNAcentral.